Molecule: ribosomal RNA, 253 nt
Filed under: uncultured bacterium
Lineage: Bacteria
Description: partial 16S ribosomal RNA
Rfam family: Bacterial small subunit ribosomal RNA
Source: RNAcentral
UACGUAGGGGGCUAGCGUUGUCCGGAUUUAUUGGGCGUAAAGAGCGUGUAGGCGGCCGGAUAGGUCUGCUGUGAAAACUCGAGGCUCAACCUCGAGAUGUCGGCGGAAACCAUUUGGCUAGAGUCCGGAAGAGGAAAGUGGAAUUCCUGGUGUAGCGGUGAAAUGCGCAGAUAUCAGGAAGAACACCCGUGGCGAAGGCGGCUUUCUGGGACGGUACUGACGCUGAGACGCGAAAGCGUGGGGAGCGAACAGG